RNAcentral lists this ribosomal RNA (2987 nucleotides) under Salmonella enterica subsp. enterica serovar Typhimurium. RNAcentral describes it as "bacterial LSU rRNA". It matches the Rfam family "Bacterial large subunit ribosomal RNA". Lineage: Bacteria; Pseudomonadati; Pseudomonadota; Gammaproteobacteria; Enterobacterales; Enterobacteriaceae. The record is from RNAcentral.
UUAAGCGACUAAGCGUACACGGUGGAUGCCCUGGCAGUCAGAGGCGAUGAAGGGCGUGCUAAUCUGCGAUAAGCGCCGGUAAGGUGAUAUGAACCGUUAUAACCGGCGAUACCCGAAUGGGGAAACCCAGUGUGAUUCGUCACACUAUCAUUAACUGAAUCCAUAGGUUAAUGAGGCGAACCGGGGGAACUGAAACAUCUAAGUACCCCGAGGAAAAGAAAUCAACCGAGAUUCCCCCAGUAGCGGCGAGCGAACGGGGAGGAGCCCAGAGCCUGAAUCAGCAUGUGUGUUAGUGGAAGCGUCUGGAAAGGUGCGCGAUACAGGGUGACAGCCCCGUACACAAAAGCGCAUGUGCUGUGAGCUCGAUGAGUAGGGCGGGACACGUGGUAUCCUGUCUGAAUAUGGGGGGACCAUCCUCCAAGGCUAAAUACUCCUGACUGACCGAUAGUGAACCAGUACCGUGAGGGAAAGGCGAAAAGAACCCCGGCGAGGGGAGUGAAAAAGAACCUGAAACCGUGUACGUACAAGCAGUGGGAGCACAGGUUUACCUGUGUGACUGCGUACCUUUUGUAUAAUGGGUCAGCGACUUAUAUUCUGUAGCAAGGUUAACCGAAUAGGGGAGCCGGAGGGAAACCGAGUCUUAAUUGGGCGUUAAGUUGCAGGGUAUAGACCCGAAACCCGGUGAUCUAGCCAUGGGCAGGUUGAAGGUUGGGUAACACUAACUGGAGGACCGAACCGACUAAUGUUGAAAAAUUAGCGGAUGACCUGUGGCUGGGGGUGAAAGGCCAAUCAAACCGGGAGAUAGCUGGUUCUCCCCGAAAGCUAUUUAGGUAGCGCCUCGUGAAUUCAUCUCCGGGGGUAGAGCACUGUUUCGGCUAGGGGGCCAUCCCGGCUUACCAACCCGAUGCAAACUGCGAAUACCGGAGAAUGUUAUCACGGGAGACACACGGCGGGUGCUAACGUCCGUCGUGAAGAGGGAAACAACCCAGACCGCCAGCUAAGGUCCCAAAGUCAUGGUUAAGUGGGAAACGAUGUGGGAAGGCCCAGACAGCCAGGAUGUUGGCUUAGAAGCAGCCAUCAUUUAAAGAAAGCGUAAUAGCUCACUGGUCGAGUCGGCCUGCGCGGAAGAUGUAACGGGGCUAAACCAUGCACCGAAGCUGCGGCAGCGAACGUAUCACUUAAAGCGAUUCAGCGGGUUACGAUUGACGGAGCGAAGCGACGUCAAAGCGUAUACAAAGUCGAGUCGGUUUAAGGAUACGUUCGUUGGGUAGGGGAGCGUUCUGUAAGCCCGUGAAGGUGGCCUGUGAGGGUUGCUGGAGGUAUCAGAAGUGCGAAUGCUGACAUAAGUAACGAUAAAGCGGGUGAAAAGCCCGCUCGCCGGAAGACCAAGGGUUCCUGUCCAACGUUAAUCGGGGCAGGGUGAGUCGACCCCUAAGGCGAGGCCGAAAGGCGUAGUCGAUGGGAAACGGGUUAAUAUUCCCGUACUUGGUGUUACUGCGAAGGGGGGACGGAGAAGGCUAUGUUGGCCGGGCGACGGUUGUCCCGGUUUAAGCGUGUAGGUGUGUGUUCCAGGUAAAUCCGGUUCACUUUAACACUGAGGCGUGACGACGAGGCACUACGGUGCUGAAGCAACAAAUGCCCUGCUUCCAGGAAAAGCCUCUAAGCAUCAGGUAACAUCAAAUCGUACCCCAAACCGACACAGGUGGUCAGGUAGAGAAUACCAAGGCGCUUGAGAGAACUCGGGUGAAGGAACUAGGCAAAAUGGUGCCGUAACUUCGGGAGAAGGCACGCUGACACGUAGGUGAAGUGAUUUACUCAUGGAGCUGAAGUCAGUCGAAGAUACCAGCUGGCUGCAACUGUUUAUUAAAAACACAGCACUGUGCAAACACGAAAGUGGACGUAUACGGUGUGACGCCUGCCCGGUGCCGGAAGGUUAAUUGAUGGGGUCAGCGCAAGCGAAGCUCCUGAUCGAAGCCCCGGUAAACGGCGGCCGUAACUAUAACGGUCCUAAGGUAGCGAAAUUCCUUGUCGGGUAAGUUCCGACCUGCACGAAUGGCGUAAUGAUGGCCAGGCUGUCUCCACCCGAGACUCAGUGAAAUUGAACUCGCUGUGAAGAUGCAGUGUACCCGCGGCAAGACGGAAAGACCCCGUGAACCUUUACUAUAGCUUGACACUGAACAUUGAGCCUUGAUGUGUAGGAUAGGUGGGAGGCUUUGAAGUGUGGACGCCAGUCUGCAUGGAGCCGACCUUGAAAUACCACCCUUUAAUGUUUGAUGUUCUAACGUGGACCCGUAAUCCGGGUUGCGGACAGUGUCUGGUGGGUAGUUUGACUGGGGCGGUCUCCUCCUAAAGAGUAACGGAGGAGCACGAAGGUUGGCUAAUCCUGGUCGGACAUCAGGAGGUUAGUGCAAUGGCAUAAGCCAGCUUGACUGCGAGCGUGACGGCGCGAGCAGGUGCGAAAGCAGGUCAUAGUGAUCCGGUGGUUCUGAAUGGAAGGGCCAUCGCUCAACGGAUAAAAGGUACUCCGGGGAUAACAGGCUGAUACCGCCCAAGAGUUCAUAUCGACGGCGGUGUUUGGCACCUCGAUGUCGGCUCAUCACAUCCUGGGGCUGAAGUAGGUCCCAAGGGUAUGGCUGUUCGCCAUUUAAAGUGGUACGCGAGCUGGGUUUAGAACGUCGUGAGACAGUUCGGUCCCUAUCUGCCGUGGGCGCUGGAGAACUGAGGGGGGCUGCUCCUAGUACGAGAGGACCGGAGUGGACGCAUCACUGGUGUUCGGGUUGUCAUGCCAAUGGCACUGCCCGGUAGCUAAAUGCGGAAGAGAUAAGUGCUGAAAGCAUCUAAGCACGAAACUUGCCCCGAGAUGAGUUCUCCCUGAGACUUAGAGUCUCCUGAAGGAACGUUGAAGACGACGACGUUGAUAGGCCGGGUGUGUAAGCGCAGCGAUGCGUUGAGCUAACCGGUACUAAUGAACCGUGAGGCUUAACCUU